GUGGGGAAUAUUGGACAAUGGGCGAAAGCCUGAUCCAGCCAUGCCGCGUGUGUGAAGAAGGUCUUCGGAUUGUAAAGCACUUUAAGUUGGGAGGAAGGGCAGUAAGUUAAUACCUUGCUGUUUUGACGUUACCGACAGAAUAAGCACCGGCUAACUUCGUGCCAGCAGCUGCGGUAAUACGAAGGGUGCAAGCGUUAAUCGGAAUUACUGGGCGUAAAGCGCGCGUAGGUGGUUUUGUAAGUUGGAGGUGAAAUCCCCGGGCUCAACCUGGGAACUGCCUCAAAAACUACUGAGCUAGAGUACGGUAGAGGGUAGUGGAAUUUCCUGUGUAGCGGUGAAAUGCGUAGAUAUAGGAAGGAACACCAGUGGCGAAGGCGACUACCUGGACUGAUACUGACACUGAGGUGCGAAAGCGUGGGGAGCAAACAGGAUUAGAUACCCGUGUAGUCC
RNAcentral lists this ribosomal RNA (450 nucleotides) under uncultured bacterium. RNAcentral's name for it is "partial 16S ribosomal RNA". It matches the Rfam family "Bacterial small subunit ribosomal RNA", at positions 354 to 796 of the family's 1533-position model. The record is from RNAcentral.